This is a transfer RNA of Ovis aries (sheep), 73 nucleotides long. It matches the Rfam family "tRNA". Rfam says of the family: Transfer RNA (tRNA) molecules are approximately 80 nucleotides in length. The record is from Rfam. NCBI's taxonomy places the organism in Eukaryota, Metazoa, Chordata, Mammalia, Artiodactyla, Bovidae.
UCUUUGGCAGUCCAGUGGUUAGGACUCUGCACUUCUACUGCAGAGGGCACGGGUUCAAUUCCUGCUUGGGGAA